GUGGGGAAUAUUGGACAAUGGGCGAAAGCCUGAUCCAGCCAUGCCGCGUGUGUGAAGAAGGUCUUCGGAUUGUAAAGCACUUUAAGUUGGGAGGAAGGGCAUUAACCUAAUACGUUAGUGUUUUGACGUUACCGACAGAAUAAGCACCGGCUAACUUCGUGCCAGCAGCCGCGGUAAUACGAAGGGUGCAAGCGUUAAUCGGAAUUACUGGGCGUAAAGCGCGCGUAGGUGGUUUUGUAAGUUGGAGGUGAAAUCCCCGGGCUCAACCUGGGAACUGCCUCCAAAACUGCAUGACUAGAGUACGGUAGAGGGUAGUGGAAUUUCCUGUGUAGCGGUGAAAUGCGUAGAUAUAGGAAGGAACACCAGUGGCGAAGGCGACUACCUGGACUGAUACUGACACUGAGGUGCGAAAGCGUGGGGAGCAAACAGGAUUAGAUACCCUUGUAGUCC
This 450-nucleotide ribosomal RNA is filed under the name uncultured bacterium. Its description in RNAcentral is "partial 16S ribosomal RNA". It matches the Rfam family "Bacterial small subunit ribosomal RNA", at positions 354 to 796 of the family's 1533-position model. The record is from RNAcentral.